RNAcentral lists this ribosomal RNA (635 nucleotides) under uncultured Marinobacter sp. RNAcentral describes it as "bacterial SSU rRNA". It matches the Rfam family "Bacterial small subunit ribosomal RNA", at positions 870 to 1504 of the family's 1533-position model. Lineage: Bacteria; Pseudomonadati; Pseudomonadota; Gammaproteobacteria; Pseudomonadales; Marinobacteraceae. The record is from RNAcentral.
CGCCUGGGGAGUACGGCCGCAAGGUUAAAACUCAAAUGAAUUGACGGGGGCCCGCACAAGCGGUGGAGCAUGUGGUUUAAUUCGACGCAACGCGAAGAACCUUACCUGGCCUUGACAUCCAGAGAGCUUUCCAGAGAUGGAUUGGUGCCUUCGGGAACUCUGAGACAGGUGCUGCAUGGCCGUCGUCAGCUCGUGUCGUGAGAUGUUGGGUUAAGUCCCGUAACGAGCGCAACCCCUAUCCAUGGUUGCUAGCAGGUAAUGCUGAGAACUCCAGGGAGACUGCCGGUGACAAACCGGAGGAAGGUGGGGAUGACGUCAGGUCAUCAUGGCCCUUACGGCCAGGGCUACACACGUGCUACAAUGGCGCGUACAGAGGGCUGCCAACUCGCGAGAGUGAGCCAAUCCCUUAAAACGCGUCGUAGUCCGGAUCGGAGUCUGCAACUCGACUCCGUGAAGUCGGAAUCGCUAGUAAUCGCGAAUCAGAAUGUCGCGGUGAAUACGUUCCCGGGCCUUGUACACACCGCCCGUCACACCAUGGGAGUGGAUUGCACCAGAAGUAGUUAGUCUAACCUUCGGGAGGACGAUUACCACGGUGUGGUUCAUGACUGGGGUGAAGUCGUAACAAGGUAACCGUA